CCCUUAGAUGUCCGGGGCCGCACGCGCGCUACACUGAAGGAAUCAGCGUGGCUUUCUCCCUGACCCGAAAGGGUUGGGAAACCCGUUGAAUCUCCUUCGUGAUAGGGAUUGGGGCUUGAAAUUGUUCCCCAUGAACGAGGAAUUCCCAGUAAGCGCGAGUCAUAAGCUCGCGUUGAUUACGUCCCUGCCCUUUGUACACACCGCCCGUCGCUACUACCGAUUGAACGGUUUCGUGAGGGCCUCGGAUUGGUCUCGGCCCGCUCUUUACCGGGCGGCGCCGUUGGUCGAGAAGACGCUCGAACUUGAUCGUUUAGAGGAAGUAAAAGUCGUAACA
RNAcentral lists this ribosomal RNA (334 nucleotides) under uncultured eukaryote. RNAcentral's name for it is "partial 18S ribosomal RNA". It matches the Rfam family "Eukaryotic small subunit ribosomal RNA", at positions 1470 to 1796 of the family's 1831-position model. The record is from RNAcentral.